CCGCCGGUUACCUGGACUGAGCCCGGCGCGGUGGAGCUGAAGAAGCUGCGGCUGCGGAGAAGCUGUGGAGCUGGGCCCGCGAGCCGGGAGCAUGAGGACCUGGUGUCUGUGUCAGAUUUGUACCUGCGGCUGAAUAUUUGGAAAACUAUCCUACGUAUGGCAGUGUUCUUCCACCUCAGAGUCUGAAGCCCAAGGAAGAAUUUCCAGCAUAUCGUUGUAAAAUGGAAGGAAUAACAACAUUUAAAUUUCAAGGCAUCUGCAUAGUGAACCCUGAGUCAGGUUUUGGUUGGUAGUGUCAAGAUGGCUACACUGCUCUUCGCUGUAUUCAAGUUAGAAAGAGGCAUUGUGGUGUGACAAGUAAAGGCUCUGUGGGUUGGGAAUCAAAGCACCUGAGUUCAAGUUCCAAUGAAACCAGUUUCUACUUGUGCCAUCCUAGGCAAGUGACUCUUGUCUUUGAGCCUCAGUGUCUUCAUUUGUCAAAGAAUAUCUGCUCUUCCUACCUCUCAAAAGUUUUGCUUUGAGCAUCAGGUCAUGUGAUACAACAUAACGCACAAAGUAAAAGUGCUAACCAAAGGUUAGGGAUUGUUACUAAGUCGCUCAAUCUCUUUCUGUACCUGUUUCUCUGUUUUCAAAUUAGGAGAAUUACCUACUCAACACUCACUUUCUGUCCUGUAGCAAGGAUUGUAAAAUAACGUAAUCUGCUUCGAGCUUACAAGUAGUGUGAUUUGAGAUGAGACUUGCCCUCUAAAGCUUCACAAGCACCCUAGAAGUUCUUGCAGAGAAUGGAGAGCUUGGAUGGGGCGAAUAAUGUGGUUCGAAUGACAGUACUUCCAAAAAGGAAAAAGCAUUUGCGAGAGUAGUUUAAGGAAUGACUGACAGCUCUGAAGAAAAUUUUCACGGUAACCUCAGGUAAUUAUGCACCUAAUUGCUGCUCCCAGAAUCAAGGUGCAGAAGAAGAAUCAGGCUUGGUAUGGGCACAAUUAUGUCCUCCUCCUCCUCCAGUGUGAAGACAAAUGCCAAGAAGGGAAGGAGGGAAGGAAUGGUGCCAUUAAGUGAAGUAGAAAGAACAGACUGCAAUUAUAAAUGCUGAGACUUUCCUAAUGAAUUAAAAUCUGAGUGGGUGUUUUUUCUUUGAUCAAUGAUGCAUUAUGGGAUAAUAUGAUUUAUUUUAUCUUUUCAGUCUUUAGUAGCUUUAGAACUGUUUCAAAAUAUAUACUUAACUGAGAACAAGUCCGUCAACAUUUGGUUAAAAUACUUUUCAUUAUGUGGAAGUAGUUUGUUUUUAUUUACUUUCAUAUUAGAGAAAAUUAUGUUGAAUUGAUAUAUUAGUCAUAGUAAUAGAGCAUCAUUAAAUGAAUUUUCAUGAAAUCAUUUCUGCAACAAAUCUUCUCUGGAAAAGAGAUCUUGUUAAUAAAGUAUUUUCCAGGAUAAGCUCUACAUAAUUCACACACACACACACACACACACACACACACACACACACACACACACAGUCACACAUUUUAACAGCACUGGAAACUAGUAAUAUUUUAACUAUUUAACUAUCUGCCAGAUUUAGAAUGAAUUUCCACUAAGCCAAACUUGGAUAAAUCGGAUGAAGGAAGCAGGGCAUUUGGAGACAAAAUUUCCACCCCCACCCCAUCCCAUCUCCAUCCUGUCUCCCUGCAUGUCCUUGUUGUGGAGAAUGAGACCACAGAAUGAGACAGAAAGGCUUUGUAGUUUAUAAACCCUGCAGGGACAACAACGCUAAGAGUGCACCCUAAUGUACACCAUGGACUUUGGGUGAUUAUGCUGUGUCAGUGUCAAGUCGCCCAUUGUGACACAGGUACCCUCUGGUGCGGGCAAUCAAUAGUGGCAGGCUGUGCAUCUGUGGGGGCAGGAGGUACAGGGUUACUCUCUGUACUCUCCAUUCAAUUUUGUUCUGAAUCUAAAACUGCUCUAAAAAUCAAAGAAUAUUAAAAACAAAGACUGCAUGGCAGGAAGAAAGGAGGGGAGUGUUUAGCAGUCAGAGGUUGGGAAGCCCAACCCCUGAAUACAUCAGAUUUACAGACUUCCUUUCUAAGGCCCUCUCUGAGAAUCGCUGUGUGAGAGGAGUCUGGUAAUAUGAAGCGAGGAGGAGACCUCUGAACAUUCAUCAGAGAAGGGGAAGGUGAACCUUGUCAUCAUAAGUUAGCAAACUUCAAAAAGGCUGUUUAAAAAGAGUGCUGCUGAUGUACCUUUCAAAGGGUCACAGUGUCCAAUAAAACAUGAAGAAACGUCCAUUUUGUUAAGACUUUAGCUUUUCUUUUCUCUCCACUCAGUGGUGUUUUACAUGGAUGGGCAGAUUUUCACCCUAUGUCACAGACCCAGGACUUUCACCAAUGUCGCCCCUCCCCAUCCUCCCCUUCAACAGGGCACACAGUUUGAUAGCUGCCAGGGCUAUCUCUCCAUCAUCUCCAAUGUCCCCAUCUAUACUACUUUAUUUGUAGCAAUUAUGGAACUAUAAUGACAAAUGACACAGAUUUGGAGCACGUGGAACACUCGUAUGUCGUUAGUGGGAACAGCCACUUUGGAAAACAGUUUGCUAGUUUCUUAUAAACAUGUACAUAACCAUAUGAGCCAGCAAAUCCACUCCUCGGUAUUUAUCAAAUAAGAAUGAAAACUUAGUUUUACACAAAAGCCUGUACGUGAAUGUUUAUAGAAUUGUAUUCAUAAUCACCCCACGCUGGAAACAACCCCGAGGUCUUUUAACUGGAAAAAUGAUACACAUCUAUAGUAUACCCAUACGAAGCCAAUUCAAGGAACAAACUAUUGAUUCACCCAAUAUCACGCAUGAAUCUUAAAUGUCUUUUUGGUCAGUGAAAGAAGCCUCAAAGGCCACAUAAUGUAUGAUCCCACUUGCAUGAAACUCUGGAAAAGGUAAAAUUAUACGGACAGAAAAUAAAUAAUUGCCAGGGGGUGGGGGGUGGAGAAAUUAUUGGCUACCAAGAAUCAAGAUAAGGGAAUUUGGGAGGUGAUGGAACCGUUAUGUAAGAAACUGUGCUGGUCGACAAACAACUCUCUGAAUUUGUCAAAACUCUUGGAACUGUAAAGCACAGAGGCAAUUUGACUGCAUGUAAAAUUAUAAAAACGAUCACCCAGGAGGUGGGGAGAAAGCAAGGAGGAAUGCAGACUGUGACAAAUGAGGAUGACUGUACAACAAAUGAAUCACAUAACCACACUGCAGGGGGUGGGAAGGAAGGGGAUGACCUAAGUCACUCUGGAAGAGGGUUCUCACUGGACACCAUAAGGCAGUAGACAAAAAGAAUACUAUACAAAUACUGUACUCUACUUGGUAAUUUCUUUUUUUCC
This is an RNA transcript of Aethalodelphis obliquidens (Pacific white-sided dolphin), 3330 nucleotides long. It is a transcript of the gene named stabilizer of axonemal microtubules 2, with no coding region annotated. NCBI's taxonomy places the organism in Eukaryota, Metazoa, Chordata, Mammalia, Artiodactyla, Delphinidae. The transcript has 3 exons. The record is from RefSeq and is a predicted model, not a curated record.